CCUUAACCCCCCCCACAUCUACCAGUUCCACCAGAGGAAUGGCUUUGCCUGCGUCCUGCUCUCGGACGUCCUCGAGCUGCUGCAGUUCCUGUUCGUGGUCACCUUCAGCACGUUCCUGCUGUGCUGCGUGGACUACGACGUGCUUUUCGCCACGCGCCCGCUCAACCACAGCCACGUCCCCGAGCGCGCCAAGGUGACACUGCCCGACGCCGUGCUGCCCGCCCCGCAGUGCGCCCGCAGGCUCCGUGGCAGCGGGUGGCUGCUGUUCCUGCUGGUGCUGGCAGGAGCAGUCUGGCUGUGCCGCCUGGUCACGGCGCUCCGGCGCCUCGUGGGCUACUGGGAGAUCCGGAGCUUCUACAUCCGAGCGCUCGGCAUCCCCGCGGUGAGGGGCCAGGGGCUGGGCGGG
Molecule: long non-coding RNA, 406 nt
Organism: Pyrgilauda ruficollis (rufous-necked snowfinch)
Lineage: Eukaryota; Metazoa; Chordata; Aves; Passeriformes; Passeridae
Exons: 3
Source: RefSeq, a predicted model, not a curated record